RNAcentral lists this ribosomal RNA (689 nucleotides) under uncultured fecal bacterium TB147. RNAcentral's name for it is "bacterial SSU rRNA". It matches the Rfam family "Bacterial small subunit ribosomal RNA", at positions 32 to 715 of the family's 1533-position model. The record is from RNAcentral. Lineage: Bacteria; Pseudomonadati; Bacteroidota.
AACGCUAGCUACAGGCUUAACACAUGCAAGUCGAGGGGUAGCACGGAGGAAGCUUGCUUCCUUGGGUGACGACCGGCGCACGGGUGAGUAACGCGUAUCCGACCUACCCAUAACACGGGCACAGCCGAUCGAAAGAUCGAUUGAUUCCCGAUAUGUUAUAUAAGUAGAUUAUAUAAUGAAAGAUUCAUCGGUUAUGGAUGGGGAUGCGUAAGAUUAGGUAGUAGGCGGGGUAACGGCCCACCUAGCCGACGAUCUUUAGGGGUUCUGAGAGGAAGGUCCCCCACACUGGUACUGAGACACGGACCAGACUCCUACGGGAGGCAGCAGUGAGGAAUAUUGGUCAAUGGGCGGAAGCCUGAACCAGCCAAGUAGCGUGAAGGAUUACAGCCCUACGGGUUUUAAACUUCUUUUAUAUAAGAGUAAUGUGCACUACGUGUAGUGUAUUGCAAGUAUUAUAUGAAUAAGCAUCGGCUAACUCCGUGCCAGCAGCCGCGGUAAUACGGAGGAUGCGAGCGUUAUCCGGAUUUAUUGGGUUUAAAGGGAGCGUAGGCGGGAUAUUAAGUCAGUCGUCAAAGCCUGUGGGUCAACCACAGCCCGCGAUUGAUACUGGUAUCCUUGAGUGCAGAUGAAGUGGAUGGAAUUCGUGGUGUAGCGGUGAAAUGCUUAGAUAUCACGAAGAACUCCGAUUG